UCGGGAAUUUUGGGCAAUGGGCGAAAGCCUGACCCAGCAACGCCGCGUGAAGGAUGAAGUAUUUCGGUAUGUAAACUUCGAAAGAAUAGGAAGAAUAAAUGACGGUACUAUUUAUAAGGUCCGGCUAACUACGUGCCAGCAGCCGCGGUAAUACGUAGGGACCAAGCGUUGUUCGGAUUUACUGGGCGUAAAGGGCGCGUAGGCGGCAAUUCAAGUCAUCUGUGAAAUCUCCGGGCUUAACUCGGAACGGUCAGAUGAUACUGCUUUGCUAGAGUGCAGAAGGGGCAAUCGGAAUUCUUGGUGUAGCGGUGAAAUGCGUAGAUAUCAAGAGGAACACCUGAGGUGAAGACGGGUUGCUGGGCUGACACUGACGCUGAGGCGCGAAAGCCAGGGGAGCAAA
RNAcentral lists this ribosomal RNA (400 nucleotides) under uncultured bacterium. RNAcentral's name for it is "bacterial SSU rRNA". It matches the Rfam family "Bacterial small subunit ribosomal RNA", at positions 355 to 772 of the family's 1533-position model. The record is from RNAcentral.